UACAGAGGGUGCGAGCGUUGUUCGGAAUUAUUGGGCGUAAAGCGCGCGCAGGCGGUCCUUUAAGUCUGAUGUGAAAGCCCACGGCUCAACCGUGGAGGGUCAUUGGAAACUGGGGGACUUGAGUACAGAAGAGAAGAGUGGAAUUCCACGUGUAGCGGUGAAAUGCGUAGAGAUGUGGAGGAACACCAGUGGCGAAGGCGACUCUUUGGUCUGUAACUGACGCUGAGGCGCGAAAGCGUGGGGAGCAAACAGG
RNAcentral lists this ribosomal RNA (253 nucleotides) under uncultured bacterium. RNAcentral describes it as "partial 16S ribosomal RNA". It matches the Rfam family "Bacterial small subunit ribosomal RNA", at positions 524 to 776 of the family's 1533-position model. The record is from RNAcentral.